RNAcentral lists this long non-coding RNA (2446 nucleotides) under Triticum aestivum (bread wheat). Its description in RNAcentral is "long non-coding RNA (TAES_LNC024864)". The record is from RNAcentral. Lineage: Eukaryota; Viridiplantae; Streptophyta; Magnoliopsida; Poales; Poaceae.
AGCACCAUGCGUAUGUGGCCAGUGAGUUUGCAUUUGUGUAGAAAAUUAUUGCUACUAAAAGAAAUGAAAUGGUUUUCUUCAUCCUUGUUUCAAACCAACUAAUAAACUAGAUGCUUGGAAGACUCUUUUCACUAUAUAGUUCAUGUAUGCACCUCUACUUGAUAAUCAUAAAUAGUUUGAUCACACAAUUCUUUCAAAAAACAAAGAAUCUACUAAAAACAACCAGCAGAUGAUGUAUCUGAAGGCAUUUCGUUUCAGGUGAUAUGUUCGUGACUUAAUUUUGUGGCCUACACAACUAAUGUAGAGGUUAUAUAAGUGUAGAACAGUGAUUUAGGAUAUGAUGUUUUUUAAAUACCUUUCGCGAAUGUUUGUUUGAACUCCGUUCCGAGACCACAUACUUUAGGAAAAUUUUCUUAUGUUUCAACCAAAUAAGCUCUCAAAGGAUUAGCAAGCAAAUGGACCAUUCCGAUUAAACUAUUUGUUCUAGGUCACAAUUGAAGUAUUGAUAUGUUCUGCCCAACGUUCAUUAUACCGAGUCAUGUAUUUUUUUUUCUGAACAUACAUUAUAUUUUCUAGAAAUUGCUCCUCUGUUAGAGAAACAUAUAAAUUCUUCUGUCUUUUUAUUACAUGAUACAACCUAAGGAAAUUGGAACGACUGAUUUAUGUGGGAAACUGAUGGGAUAAAGCUCAAAAGCUCACACCUGGAUAUUUUUUUGUCACACCUUCCAAAUCGUGUAGAAGAAACGCUUACAAAAAGAAGAAAGAGACCUGGUUUGCCUUCCUUGCUGGCGUCCUUGUCAUCUCCAACCCGCCCACAGGUAUUGCAACUCCUUCCCAUCUGGUUUCCUCCUAUGAGAUAUUUUCUUCACUUGAGCUUUAGAAACAUUUAUUUAAGUGGUUACUGGUUGCUCCAGAAAUUUGAUAUUAAUAUGAUUUUGAUAUAGCCAUGAUGGCUCCUGUGUAGUUGUUUGGUUUGGUAUUUGAUUGUAAACUCUGGUUUGGUAUUUUUAGUCGCAUGUUUCAGUGGAAGAAGAAAAAAUAGUGUCAAAGUAGAAUGCACAUCGUUGUGGCAUAGUCGACUAUGUCGUAUGAGAAGAUUUGAUCAGAUGGUCCUUUUUUAUUCUUUCUGAUUUUCUAUAGAUAGUUGGGUUUUCGGAUACAAAUAUAAUUUUGGUAAUCCCAUGAGUUUUUGUCAAUGCCAGGUUUAAUUGUUGACAUAGUAUUGAACAUUUAGUUCAGUUAAAUAUCAUGACAGAUGGCUUCCUUUAUUUAUGUCCAAAUUAAAAAUCAUAUGCAAAUAGACUUGUGCAAGAAAUAAAUUUUGAAUUUGUUUUGGUCCAUUGUCUCAGAUCACACUGAUUCCACUCUUUUUAGGACUCCAGUAGAAACUGCAUGUACAAAUAAUAAUAUACAUUUACAUUGAACUUUGUUCUGUGUAAGUAUGAGUAAAUGCAUUGAUGUGUUCUCACUCUUUCUAGGACUAUAAUAGCAACUACAGUUUGACAGCGCCAAGGAGGCGCUACCCGAUAUACAUCAAUGAUGAUGAAGGUAUAUACAUAUACAUUAUGUUGGAGAGGGAGUAGAAGAGUGGGGAGGGUGAAACAUAUGCCUUGUGCAUGCGUGAACCAAGCAAUGCAUUUGUGCCUUCUUUUUCUAUGUGUAUUUGCUCACCAUCUGUCAUGUUAAGUUGCGGACUAGCUAUUUAACAUUGUGUGCAUAGUUCAAACAUUUCCAUCUUUGAUAAAAUCUUCUUGAUCCAUGGUAGGUUGGUGCACCAGACACGACACCAGAAGUUUCACUACUGCAUAAGUGCGUCUUCAAGGUGACGAGGUGGACGGUAAGGUAUAUGCUUCUACUUGCCUCCGGUGCUUUCUAUUUGAUACAUCAGUACUUCAUAAGUUGGUCUGACUGUUUUCCCUCUCCGUAGUGAACUGCGGGAUGUGCCGUUGGCUGAUGAUGUGCUCUCCAUUAAAACCAAGAAGGCCAUGCGCCACUGAAACCAGAGAGGUCAGAUGUUGUUAUGUGCUCUCCCUUUUUGUACGCCUGUUUGAUCUUCUCUUUCUCACUUCAAUGACUCUUGCGAUGAGCAUCUUGAUUAUGUACGGGUUGGAAAUCGAUAUAUGCAGGACCUUAUCCUUUUGUUUGUGGAUGCGUGAAGAAAGGAUGGUUGGCUAAGGGGGUGUCUCUUCUAGGACAGUGUCACGUGGCUCUGUUAGCUUCGAUUUUAUGGCGCCCUGUUGUCCGAUAUACAUUUAUUUAUGGAUUGGACGCAUCUGGUUAGUUCAUGUUGUUAUGUUGUUCAAGAAUAAGCACAUGUUGCAGUUAGUAUGCUACUCUAUGUAACCUCUUUGUCCUUGGGAUUUCCUUUGCAGCAAACUAAAUGGAUUCUAAAUGCUACCUUGGUCAUUAUUCUUUGUACAAUGCAUGCAGCAGUCUGCGAGUGUUU